GGGCAGUUAGCUCAGCUGGUACGAGCGCCUGGUUUACACCCAGAUGGUCGGGAGUUCGAUCCUCUCACUGCCCA
Molecule: transfer RNA, 74 nt
Filed under: Treponema sp.
Lineage: Bacteria; Pseudomonadati; Spirochaetota; Spirochaetia; Treponematales; Treponemataceae
Also listed under: 1 other name
Description: tRNA-Val
Rfam family: tRNA
About the family: Transfer RNA (tRNA) molecules are approximately 80 nucleotides in length. Their secondary structure includes four short double-helical elements and three loops (D, anti-codon, and T loops).
Source: RNAcentral